UUAGAGUUCCUCUAAGGCCUUGAAUAAUGACACUGUUUUAUGAAUUAUAAGCAUCACAGCAUGAGGCAGCAUCUGGUGGGGAGGUGCCUACAGGAAGGAAGAGACCUCAGCAUGUUUGCUAUUUGUACUUUUUGAUGUUUCAACAAGAAGGCAGAGCAUUUUCUCAAGCCAGUUUUAGUAGUGACAGAACCAAAAAGACAAUCGGUAAAUUGAAUGUAGAAUCCAGACCCAACCAAGAACAAAGAGGCACCAAAACUAGCCUGGGUGAGAGGAAAAGAAAGUCUACAUCACAGAGAAGUGCAAAUUCCUACUAAAAUUCCAAGAAGUCUACCAGAAGACAGACAAGAGACAAGAACGGGAGGGAGUAUAUAAGGCUCUUCUGACAGAGACUAUACAAGAUGUGUGGCUGAGUCAGAUGAGGAAGAAAAGAAACCAGCAGAAGAGGGAGGGGAACCAUGGAAGAGCACCAGGACAGGCUUGGACACAACCAGCCAGGAGUUUCCACACAUCUCAGCACCCUCUUCCUAUCCUGCCUUUCUUCCAACUCCCAAUUUCCCAGUGCCGCUCCAUCCCUUGAGACAGGGAGACCUCUUCCUGGAGCAGUGGUAUGAAUAAGGGUCAACAAAAAUUUGUGGUGUUUGUCAAAAGCAUCUUCUCUUUCUUAAUAAAUUCAA
Molecule: long non-coding RNA, 674 nt
Organism: Canis lupus familiaris (dog)
Lineage: Eukaryota; Metazoa; Chordata; Mammalia; Carnivora; Canidae
Exons: 3
Source: RefSeq, a predicted model, not a curated record